AGCGGGGGAUCUUCGGACCUCUCGCUAUUGGAUGAGCCCGCGUCGGAUUAGCUAGUUGGUAGGGUAAUGGCCUACCAAGGCGACGAUCCGUAACUGGUCUGAGAGGAUGAUCAGUCACACUGGAACUGAGACACGGUCCAGACUCCUACGGGAGGCAGCAGUGGGGAAUAUUGGACAAUGGGGGAAACCCUGAUCCAGCCAUGCCGCGUGUGUGAAGAAGGCCUUAGGGUUGUAAAGCACUUUCAGUGGGGAGAAAGGCUUGUUGAUUAAUACUCGACGAGAUUGAUGUUACCCACAGAAGAAGCACCGGCUAACUCCGUGCCAGCAGCCGCGGUAAUACGGAGGGUGCAAGCGUUAAUCGGAAUUACCGGGCGUAAAGCGCACGUAGGCGGUGAGUUUAGCCAGCCGUGAAAUCCCCGGGCUCAACCUGGGAAUUGCAGUUGGAACUGGCUCGCUAGAGUAUGGUAGAGGGGUGUGGAAUUUCAGGUGUAGCGGUGAAAUGCGUAGAUAUCUGAAGGAACAUCAGUGGCGAAGGCGACACCCUGGAUCAAUACUGACGCUGAGGUGCGAAAGCGUGGG
Molecule: ribosomal RNA, 579 nt
Filed under: uncultured Gammaproteobacteria bacterium
Lineage: Bacteria; Pseudomonadati; Pseudomonadota; Gammaproteobacteria
Description: bacterial SSU rRNA
Rfam family: Bacterial small subunit ribosomal RNA
Source: RNAcentral